RNA transcript from Paramormyrops kingsleyae, 2975 nucleotides. It is a transcript of the gene named chemerin-like receptor 1, with no coding region annotated. Lineage: Eukaryota; Metazoa; Chordata; Actinopteri; Osteoglossiformes; Mormyridae. The record is from RefSeq and is a predicted model, not a curated record.
GACCACGGUCAUCUUCGUGAGUCACGCUUACAUACUGGAAGAAAGGGGAAGUGUCCAGGCAAAUUCACUUCAAGGAGGAUCAAAGGAGGCGCUGGGGACUUUUGUCUUCCAUGACACCUCCCUGACCUUAGAGCAGUAGCAAAAAGGAAAAAAUUAAUUCUCAGCUACCAUGGAGUUCAUUGACAGUAGUUUCUAUGACGACUACAGAGUGAGCAAUGAGACAGAGGACGGUCCCCUGGAGCCAGAGUCGCUGCCCCUGGAUUCCGUGGGCCUCCCCUCCGGUCUCUCAGAAGCCCUCAUGACCAUCAACGUCGGCAUCUGCCUGCUGGGGCUCUGUGGAAACGGCCUGGUCAUUUGGAUAUCCGGGUUCAGGAUGAAGAGGACUGUCAACACCACCUGGUACCUCAGUCUGGCGGUGUCCGAUUUUAUUUACUGCUCCUUCCUUCCCUUCAACAUCACCACCAUGGCCGACGUUGGCUGGCCCUUCGGGCUUCUCAUGUGUAAGCUCGCAUCUCUGGUUCUUCUCCUCAACAUGUUCAGCAGCAUCUUCCUUCUGGUCCUGGUCAGCGUUGACCGCUGCCUGAUGGUGGCCUUCCCGGUCUGGUCCCUCAACCACCGUACCCUGAGGAAAGCUUCCAUCUCUGUCCUCGUGGCUUGGGUCACCUCGGCAGCCCUGAGCAUUCCGGCUCUGGCCUUCCGUCAGGUGAAAGCGAAUGGGAGUGUCAUGGUGUGUUACACUGAUUAUGGUGACAGCCAAGGUAUCAUAGCCCUGAGUCGCUUCCUCUGUGGCUUCGUCGUGCCAUUUCUGGUCAUCAUCACCUGCUACUCCUUCAUAAUCAAGAAGCUCUGGAGCAAACGGGCGACAAAGUCUUCCAAACCCUUCCGGGUCAUGUCGGCGCUCAUCGUGGCAUUUUUCCUCUGCUGGUUCCCCUACCACGUCUUUGUGCUUCUCCAGCUGAACCAUGGCAUCUUCAGCUACAGGGUCAUCAAAACGGGCCUGAUGGUGGGAAGCACCAUAGCCUCCGCCAACAGCUUCCUCAACCCCGUUCUCUAUGUACUUGUGGGACACGACUUCCGAAAGAAGCUCAAGAGCUCCCUUCUCCUGCAGAUAGAAGACGCGGUCAGAGAAGAGAGCCAGACUCAUAGCCGAACUCUUUCAAGGCGCAUCUCGGUGCCAGAGGGCCAAGCUAGGGUCAUCUGAGACAGGUUCUGUUGAGAGUUAAGCUUGUGGCAUAUUUUUGUCGUACUGCUACUGUGAUAUCCCAAGAUAUCAAGAUAACUACCUCAUGAUCCAUGGAAGUCAUUCUGGCAGCAAAGCUUGGUCUUCAUCCUCAGAGCAACACUUCUGAAGUCUUCUGAUUCUUAUCACUCAUUUUUAUUGCACUUUUUAAAAACGUUUUUAUUUGUUUUUCAAAGUAAACAUUUGCAAAAUAAUUGCACUUGAAAGUUACAUGUCUUAUUGUACUUUUGAGUGGAUUAUGUGCAUAAGGAUAAACAAAAAAACAUGAGACACCAAACUCUGUUCAUCAUUCGACAGGCAGAUCCCUUCGCUUUAUCUUGCAUUUGCCAAAAUAAAACUGACUGGUGCCAGAACAACAACCUACCUCUGAACGUCGACAACAACACACUUGGUCCACCAACACCAGCUCUCUGCGGCGGCCCGAGAGAGCCGCCCUUCCCCCAACCCCCGACCAUCCUACCCACAUUGUACAGGGGGGCCACCAGGAGCAGACUGACCCACCGCGUCCCUGUAACAAGGAGGUAUCAGGCAGCCAUUACCCAUCAUGCCCUGGAUCAGAGUGCUGAAGUACGCCCUCUCAUCCGCUUCUGCUGACGGGACAUGGUGUCACAUAGUUGGUCAUGCCUGAAUCCAAAGCCUUUCCACAAGUGAUUGCUGGGCCUAUUGGGGAGGAGCGCAGAUUGACAGCGGCAUGCACGGCGGGGGCUGGGGGGGUGUCCACCUGCCAGGGGCUUUUUUUCCGGCUUUUGCUCCCAGGCAGAGGGGAGCCCCCCCGGUCGUGGCCAAAGCGACGACCGCGUUCCGACAUGCCGGGGGGGCCAGACGAGGCCAGGCGGGGGCGAGAUGAGAGGCGAUUCCCGGAAACAUUGCCGUCACCCCCCUACCUUCCCCCCCACGCCAACUGCGAUGGGUCUGUGAGGCGAAUCCAACAUGGCCGCCGUACUUGCGGUUGAACUCCGCCAUCAAGGCCUUGUAGGGGUUACGGAUGAUGAGGACGGCGGCAUCAAAGGCCUCGAUCUCCUUCCUGCCACUCUCGUGUGUCUUGAUGCAGAUGGUCCUGGCACUCCUCCAGUGAUCUCGCUCUCCUUUGAAGCCUAGGAAGGUAUGAAGAACAGCAGUUCUCCCAUGAGCCUCUGCCAAAGCAGAAUCUGCCAGAAUCUGUCGCUUUGUGACUGUUUACCAGGCUCUACUCUCCUACAUUACAAUUGAGCUACAAGAACUUUGUAUCUUUUUUGUAUCUUUUGAUUAAAAGACACAGUAAUACUAAGAAAAAACAAUGCAUUACCAACCUAUAAUAAUAUGUGGUAACAUUGCUCUCAUCUAUAAUGCACUAUAAAUACAUUCAUAAUGCAUUAUAGUGGCCGGUUCAAGAAAUAAUAAAGCAUUACGGCAUCUUCUAUUGACAGUCAUAAAGCAUAAUAGUGUUGAUUAUAAUACUUCAUAAGCUCCAGUGAAGCUCUCAUCUAUAAUACACUAUAGAUACCAUGAUAUAGCAUUAAAAUGGUUUGUAUAAGCAUUAAGGAUGCUUUGUGCUGCAUUAAGAAGGUAUCUAUAGUGAAUUAUAGAUGAGACGUUCAUAAAGCAUUCAUAAGGCAUAAUAAACAUAAACAUGGUCAUAAUUUAUGUCUUUUGAUAAAUAUUAAUAGCCAUGCUUAUAAUGCUUUAUGAAUGCAUUGUAAUGUGUUAUGUGUUCAUGGAAGACAUGGCAUUAUUAAAAAUUGUUACCACAUUCUAA